GAUGAACGCUGGCGGCGUGCUUAACACAUGCAAGUCGAACGAAGCACCUUGAUUCGAUUCUUCGGAUGAAGAUCUUGGUGACUGAGUGGCGGACGGGUGAGUAACGCGUGGGUAACCUGCCUCAUACAGGGGGAUAACAGUUAGAAAUGACUGCUAAUACCGCAUAAGACCACAGCACCGCAUGGUGCAGGGGUAAAAACUCCGGUGGUAUGAGAUGGACCCGCGUCUGAUUAGGUAGUUGGUGGGGUAACGGCCUACCAAGCCGACGAUCAGUAGCCGACCUGAGAGGGUGACCGGCCACAUUGGGACUGAGACACGGCCCAAACUCCUACGGGAGGCAGCGGUGGGGAAUAUUGCACAAUGGGGGAAACCCUGAUGCAGCGACGCCGCGUGAGCGAUGAAGUAUUUCGGUAUGUAAAGCUCUAUCAGCAGGGAAGAAAAUGACGGUACCUGACUAAGAAGCACCGGCUAAAUACGUG
Molecule: ribosomal RNA, 479 nt
Filed under: uncultured bacterium
Lineage: Bacteria
Description: partial 16S ribosomal RNA
Rfam family: Bacterial small subunit ribosomal RNA
Source: RNAcentral